GGAGUUGUGGCUCAGUGGCAGAGCACUUGCCUUAUACACGUGAGGCACUGGGUUCAAUCCUCAGCACCA
Ictidomys tridecemlineatus (thirteen-lined ground squirrel) is the source of this 69-nucleotide non-coding RNA. NCBI's taxonomy places the organism in Eukaryota, Metazoa, Chordata, Mammalia, Rodentia, Sciuridae. The record is from Rfam.